AUUGAACGCUGGCGGCAUGCCUUACACAUGCAAGUCGAACGGUAACGCGGGGCAACCUGGCGACGAGUGGCGAACGGGGGAGUAAUGCAUCGGAACGUGCCCAGAAGUGGGGGAUAGCCCGGCGAAAGCCGGAUUAAUACCGCAUGAGACCUGAGGGUGAAAGCGGGGGAUCGCAAGACCUCGCGCUUUUGGAGCGGCCGAUGUCAGAUUAGCUAGUUGGUGGGGUAAAGGCCUACCAAGGCGACGAUCUGUAGCUGGUCUGAGAGGACGACCAGCCACACUGGGACUGAGACACGGCCCAGACUCCUACGGGAGGCAGCAGUGGGGAAUUUUGGGCAAUGGGCGCAAGCCUGAUCCAGCCAUGCCGCGUGCGGGAAGAAGGCCUUCGGGUUGUAAACCGCUUUUGUCAGGGAAGAAACGCUCUGGGCUAAUACCCUGGGGUAAUGACGGUACCUGAAGAAUAAGCACCGGCUAACUACGUG
This 482-nucleotide ribosomal RNA is filed under the name uncultured bacterium. RNAcentral describes it as "partial 16S ribosomal RNA". It matches the Rfam family "Bacterial small subunit ribosomal RNA", at positions 29 to 507 of the family's 1533-position model. The record is from RNAcentral.